This is a long non-coding RNA of Poecile atricapillus (Black-capped chickadee), 1043 nucleotides long. RefSeq lists it as uncharacterized. The transcript is spliced from 3 exons. The record is from RefSeq and is a predicted model, not a curated record. NCBI's taxonomy places the organism in Eukaryota, Metazoa, Chordata, Aves, Passeriformes, Paridae.
CUGAGCUGGAACUUCAGCUCAAACAGUGGCUCUUCAGUCUUCUGAUGGCAAGAAUGAAGAAUGAAGACGUGAGUCUCUGUGACUCAGCCAGGAGCUAUGGCCAUCUACUGUGACUCAGCCAAUGGAAACAUUUGUAAUGUCUGUUGUUUAUCACCAUACAUUCACGUCCCGUGUCCUCACCCAGAAGGGACACUGGGUUGGCAGUAGGCCUUCUGCAGUGAGCUGCCUGAACUCUCCUUGCUUUGGCCAUGGGUGCAGCACAUGUGGUGGGAAGAAGCAUUUUGACUGAAGGUGGCUGCUGCAGGACCGUUUAUCCUUGCCUUGCUGCCCAAAGUUUGUGCCUCGGGGCUACAAUCACUACUGCCACCUCCUAUUUAAACCACUUAAACGGAGUCAAAUGAAUUCUCUUGACACAAACUAAGGAAUGCUGACACAAACUGCUGCGUGGGCUGGUUCAAAAGGGUGCUUAACACUAGAGGAGGGAAGGGGUGGGACAAGGACCGAGAACACCACAGAUGAGCAGCUGCAGUGGUAGCACCCAGCAGCACAGCUGGAUCUGAAGGAGGAUGUUUGUCCACAGCCUCUGAAAGCAAUUAGACUGGAGCCUUGGGGGGUCUAGCACAUCUGAGAACAAGUGCUACUUAUUUUGUUAACUAAAUAGGGAUUUGGAUAUCUGUUCUUAUUUCCAGACUGGAACAUUCAUGAGCUUCUGUGUGCUGUGUAAGCAUUGAAGAUCUAGCUGCUUUAAUUACUGGUAGCAGCUCCGUCAUUAAAUGGUGUUUCUUACUUGAGAAGACAAUGAUACUGAUCACUUAGGUGAAGUAGGGGGAAGGAUAGUUCUGCUGCUGUUUCUUUUCUUCAAAAUCAAGCUGUCUAAAUUCAAAAUGACACAAAAAUUCAGAAGAAUUCAGCUUUGGAACAAGGUUUUGCUUGUUUUUCCCCUCCCGGAUUUCUGUAUUAUCCUUGCUUCCUGAGGAGCCCUGUGACCGCUGUAUUCAAGAAACCUGUCCUCCCAAUGCCUCCAAUGCCUGUGACCAUUUCUG